UCAAUGGAGGACUAAUGGUUAGGCCACAGCGCUCUCACUGCUGCAGCUUGGGGUUCGAUUCCCAGCCAGGGAA
Pangasianodon gigas (Mekong giant catfish) is the source of this 73-nucleotide non-coding RNA. NCBI's taxonomy places the organism in Eukaryota, Metazoa, Chordata, Actinopteri, Siluriformes, Pangasiidae. The record is from the annotation of a GenBank genome assembly.